UGCGGGGUGGGAAAGUUGGCAAUCCGCUGGCCUCAUAAGCCAGAGAUCGAGCGUUCGAGUCGCUCCCUCGCAA
Molecule: transfer RNA, 73 nt
Filed under: Methylibium petroleiphilum PM1
Lineage: Bacteria; Pseudomonadati; Pseudomonadota; Betaproteobacteria; Burkholderiales; Sphaerotilaceae
Rfam family: tRNA
About the family: Transfer RNA (tRNA) molecules are approximately 80 nucleotides in length. Their secondary structure includes four short double-helical elements and three loops (D, anti-codon, and T loops).
Source: Rfam by way of RNAcentral